UACGUAGGUGGCAAGCGUUGUCCGGAUUUAUUGGGCGUAAAGCGCCCGCAGGCGGCUUGAUAAGUUUCAGGUGGAAUCUCCCGGCUCAACUGGGAGGGUGCCUGGAAAACUAUCAGGCUUGAGUCAUGGAGAGGGAUGUGGAAUUCCCGGUGUAGUGGUGAAAUGCGUAGAUAUCGGGAGGAACACCAGUGGCGAAGGCGGCAUCCUGGCCAUGUACUGACGCUCAGGGGCGAAAGCGUGGGGAGCAAACCGG
RNAcentral lists this ribosomal RNA (253 nucleotides) under uncultured bacterium. RNAcentral's name for it is "partial 16S ribosomal RNA". It matches the Rfam family "Bacterial small subunit ribosomal RNA", at positions 524 to 776 of the family's 1533-position model. The record is from RNAcentral.